GGGUGUAUGAGCUACUUCUAUCCCAAAUACAGAGACGGAGGACGGGGAGAGGCGAGCAACGAGCGGGCGGCGACGGGGGACGACGGGGCGGAGAGAGGAGGAGGAGGCGACGGCGCAGAGGAUUCUCCGGCGCCGCCCGCCCUCCCGCACGCUCGCAGCUCGCAGCUCGUGGCGCCGUCCUCCCCCCGUCGCUGCCCGCCGCCCGCCGCUAUACCAUCCCAUUCUUGCCGCCCGGGAAGACACUCAGCCCAAUCCCAUGCGCCUGUACAGUUGUGCGGGAGGAGCAAGGGCCAAGAGCACGGCACCUGCCCCUCGGCAUCGGACACGCUGGCCUCCUCACUGCUCUCUCCUUCUUGUGCUUGUGCAGGCAGGAGGCGGAGGCUAUGUCCAAUUACUCCCUUUUGUGUGAAUACUAUUGGGCUAGGCCCCCAGAAGCUGGGUGUAUUUUUAAGAGGAUUGUAUGGCUACAUUUGCUGCAAGCUAGAGAGAGCUAUUGUGCGUCGGAUUGGGAGCUCACAUGCCAUCAGGAAACUAGAUUUCUGUUUAACUUGUGUCCCAUGGUUAGAUAAAUGCAUGCGCCAAGUUUAGUAAUGACAAAGUGCUUCCAUCUUGCUAAAAAUAGUGAAAUAAAAUUAAUCGAAAAACUUUGGCACUGCCUACCCAAACUGACUCUUUAAUUUGAUCUUGGUACAUGAGUUCAAUUUUGGUGCCAACAAAUUGACUUGUUUUUCCAUGAACCCAUGCAUUUAAUUGAUGAUACUUACAAGUUGUCAUUUUACGAGUGAGAAUUGUUUGAACAGGUAUGAUAAUCAUAGGAGGUCCCAUCAAAGAAAAGUUUUUUUUUUUCGAAUGUGGUAUUUACAUUCUGUUGCAACACACAAGUACUUGGCUAGUCAUAGAAGCAAACCAAAAGUUUUCUCUGGCGAUGACAAAGAUGCGCAAAACAUGAUCUGAGAACCAAAGGCUGCUCAUCACCCACUUGGCAUCUUGGGCAUGUCACAUUACAUACAGAAAUGCAUUGCCUUAAUCUUUCCUUUACAUGGUUUAAUUUUCUCCUCUUAAUCAUCUACAUGCUAAUGAUUAAUCACCCAAACUAUGUUGCGCCAUUAAGUAACAUCAUCAGCUCAGCUGCAGUCCACACAGAGCGAAGGCAGCAGCAGCAGUGCCUUUUAAUCAUCUAUACAUUGCAGCUGCAGGUGCAGCAGCCAUGGAGGAUGGAGGCAGCAGAGACUCUGAUCAUGGCGUGGAGACGUCGUCGCCGCCGAAGCUGUAGGGAGCGGAGCUGGAGCAGGUGGUGCUGGUGCUGCUGACCUUGGAGGCGUCGUACUCCUGGCUGAGGCAGCGCAGCCGGUUGAGCUCCGGCAAGAUCUCCUUCCCGAGGUCCGGCCGGUCCUUCUUCCUCAGCUCGGCGCACCGCAGCGCCAGCUUGGCGAACACCAAGGCCUCCUCCACCGGCCAGUCGGUCACCAUCGGGUCGAGCACCUCCUGGAAGGUCCCCCUCUCGAUGGCGCUCUCGACGUGGUGGGUGAGCCCCAUGGGCGACCUCGCCGUGAUGAUCUGCAGCAGCAGGAUCCCCAGCGAGUAGAUGUCGGACAUGGUGGUCAGCAUCCCGGUCUGCUGGUACUCCGGGUCGAUGUAGCAGAAGGUGCCCGCCGUCGAGGUCAUCCGGUACUGCGUGGCCUCGGCGGCGGCAGCGGACUGCGGGACGAGGCGGGCGAGGCCGACGUCGCUGAUCUUGCUGACGAAGUUGUGGUCGAGGAGGAUGUUGGCCGGCUUCAGGUCGCGGUGGACCAGCGGCUCGGGCUUCGCCUGGUGGAGGAAGAGGAGGCCGGUGGCGAUGUCGGCGGCGAUGCGGAACCGGAUGUUCCAGGGGAUCGGCAGCGUCUUCCCCCGCCGGCACAGCCGGUCCUCCAGGCUGCCGUAGUCCAUGUACUCGUACACCAGGCACCCGUACUCCGGGCAUGCUCCCAGCAGCAGCACCAUGUUUGGAUGCCUCAUGCAGCUAAGCACUUCUAUCUGAACAACAAAAUAAAUAAAUUACAACUUAUUCAUCACCAUGCAGUUUAUUAAUUACUCCCUCUGUUUCAGAUUAUGAGUCGUUUUGACUUUGGUUAAAGUCAAACUGUUGUAAGUUUGACUAAUUUAUUAGUCUAUAAUUAGUUCUAUUAAAUCUAUAAUUGAAUAUAUUUUUAUAAUAUAUUUGUCUUGGGUUGAAAAUAUUAUUAUUAAUUUUCUGUAAAUUUGGUCAAACUUGAAGCAGUUUGACUUUGACCAAAGUCAAAACGACUUAUAAUAUGAAACGGAGGGAGUAAUUAGCUUGAUCAUGACAUGACUAUCUUUUGCAUAAUUGACAUCAUAUAUUUGAUCUGCCCAAAAAAAAGAAGAAGAAACUCUCACUACAUGCAGUUUAUGAGCUUGGUUAUAACUAUCGUUUGCAUAAUUGACAUGCAGAUAAUUUAGAUAUUUGAAUGGUAAAUAUGGGUAGGAAGAUAAAAUGUCUUCAAAAACAUAUGAUUGAAAUAAUGAUGUUCUGAACUAACUCAUUGUCAGAUCAUUAAAUCCUUCAAAAACAAAAAAGAGAAAAUUUGCUUCCUGAUGGUGAGAGAAAAUAUUGCAUUCAGUUUUAGUUUGGUUGUACUAAUAUGUUAACUCAAAACAACCCUGAAUAUACUGAAAAGAUGAAGAAUUUACUAGAUACUCCUAUAUUAGAUUUACCUCUUGCUGAAACUGUUUCCUCCCUUGUGAUGCAUCUGGCCUUAAGAUUUUAAUGGCGACAUUAGUAUGAUCCAUGACAGCUUUAUACACCGGCCCAUAUCCACCUUCCCCUAUCUUGAGUGCCUUGUCAAACUUAUGGGUGGCAGCUUCAAUGUCAUCAAUGGAAUACCUCCUGUACCUUAAAUCAGUGUUGUUCAUUGCUUCUGUUGCUCUCUUCCUCUCCUCGGCUUCGCGCUUCGCCUUCCACUCUGCUCUCAGUCUCUUCUGAGCCUCCAGCUCUGCAAUUCUCUGUGCAGCCUCUGCUGCUUCCAGUGCGGCUCUGCACUUUGCCUUCUCCAUUUGGACCAGAGCAAGGGCUUCCUCUUCAGCAUUCCUGAGUUCUUGGUACUUCUUGGACUCUUCCAUCUUCAUCUGGUGCAUCUGAGCAGCCUGCUGAUUUGAUCAUUAUUCACUAUUGUUUCAAAAUAUUUCAGAUAAUAGUUGAAAUUUACAGCGACAUAGAAGUGGGCAGACCUUCUGUUUAGCAUCAAUUGCUUCCUUGCAUGCGGAGUUGUACAUUUCCAUUGUCUGCUUCAGCUCUAGUCUCAGCCGUCUCAUUUCCGUUUCGACAUCCUUCUGAAUUUCAAACGACACAAAAAUAAGAGUUGAUCAAAGUCCAAUACUCUAAAAGAUUCCAGAUCACCAAGAUUUUGAUCAACUGCAGCAAAACUGAUGUUGCCGGUGUGCUUGCUUACCCCAGCUGAGCUUAGGCUUUCGAUGGACAUUGAUGCGGAAAGCGAAAGCUCCAAAGAAUCGCCGAAGUCCAUCGAUGGCAACUCCAAGCUCAAAGGAAAAUCAACAUCAUCUGAAAAGGAGCUACGGGUUACCGAGGGCCUUGGAGGAGCUAUGAAGUCGAUAUAGUCGUCGAAAUCCUUUGGGGGUGCUGAUCUAGCUCCAGAGAGAGGCCUUUCCCUGGUUGGAGCUUUUGCAAAGCCAGAUAGUCGGUCCACCGAUGGUCUGUUUGCCUUUGGAGAUGAUUGAUUGGAAAUCUUCUUCCAGUCUCCUCUUGAUCUGUUCAGCAAACCCGGAACAUGAUUUCGUAUUAUGUUAGCAAGUUCAGAAGGUAAACCGAGUGACAUGACUGAUAAACAUAUCUAUAUCUACUUAUUUGCAUACAGGUGUUUAGAUUUUAGAAUCUGAUUACUUCAAACCAUUUUGCAAUGUAAUUAUUGAGUGAAGCGAUUAUUCCUUAUCGACAAACUUACCUCGGAUAUCCAUCAGAUUCUAUGCUUGACUGUGAGUACUGUUUGGGAGGGAGAGUGGUAAAGGGUGCUGGGGCUUUGGCUGCCUUGACUUGGAUUGCCUUCCCUUUGUGGAUGACAUGCACUGUGCAGUAAUCAGGCACCAUCUUCAUCAAGCAUGUUGGCACAUCAGGAUUUCUGAACUUUCUGCAGGACACGAGGUUCAUGACUGUGUUCAGUUAUUACAGGUUAUCAAGGGAUUGGGGAAUGGUGCACAGCACAGCCAUGGAGGAAUGAACAGUCAUGCACCUGAUGAAUGUGUUCCUCGUCGACGCCCCGACGACGAUGUCGGUGAUGGCGUUGCUAGUGGCAUACUCGACUAUUGCUUUGGAGAUGUCACUGCCAUCCAAGAUCACUUCCUUCAAUUGCAUCUGCAGUUUGCAAUAUUAGCUUUGGUUCAUGCAGAUUCAUGGAGCAUUACCAUUUUGCUGUGGCUUGACAUGGACGAGCUGGAGAACGCUGCCCCUGGCGAGGAGCCGGUCCACCGCCCACUUGACCGCCUGCUGGCUGUUCUUGUCCCGGUCGACGGCGACCACCGUGGAGCUGUCCCUGGCCUCGCUGUCCCCGCCGCCGUGCGAAGACGCCGAGGAGGAGAAGGCCGACAGGUACAUGCUCCCCGCACCUCGCCGGCAAAAAGAUCGUCGGAGUCGGAGAAGGAGAGGAAGAGACAAAAAAAAAAAAAAGGAUUCUUUUGCUUCUCCUCCUCUCCCUCUUCUUCCCUCUUCUUCCCUCUCCUCCGGUUUUUUGAUCAAGCCAACCAAAAACUGCAGGAGGUUUCGCUGUUUUUUUUUCUUCAUUUUUUUUGGGGCCAAAUUUAGGUGCUGCAGCGUUGUUAAUGGCCGUUGGCUUACUUAUGUUUUUGUGGCUCUUGUGUCCCCACUUGUCAUUGACUGCAGGUGUUGCUCUCUGAUCUAUUUUUGCAUGUCCUUGUGUGCAUCCUAGUUGAAACACGGAUGAUAUAUACAGUCUUGCAUUUUUUU
Oryza sativa Japonica Group (Japanese rice) is the source of this 4975-nucleotide non-coding RNA. NCBI's taxonomy places the organism in Eukaryota, Viridiplantae, Streptophyta, Magnoliopsida, Poales, Poaceae. The record is from RefSeq and is a predicted model, not a curated record.